UUUUAAUAUUCCUCUUGUGUCCCAUCAGCUGUAUAAAUUAAGUAAAUUCAAUCAAAGGCUAUCCCUUAUCUAUUGCCUGCGUGUGCCUUGCCGGGGUGCUUCAGAGAGCUGGAUCUGUUACAAAGCGAGAGGGGAAGGGAACAGAAAUCUGAGAUCUCUCCCGAUAUAUCAAAGUCAGGCGGAGGGAGAGCAUUGAUCGCAACAUCCUCAGCUUUGAAUUACAAGUGAAUGAGAGCUGACUUAUUCCUUUUUUAAGGGAGAAAUGCACGCACAGGAGUCAGGAUCCAAGAAGGACGAGAAGAGGGAAGUGGCAGCAUGCUUAUUUGAUGCUGCAAAUGAUACGCUGGUGCCGGUAAUUUCUAGGCAGGCUGCAGCUGUCGAUGCUGCAGGCAGGGAGGUGGAGGUGCAAAGGCUGCUCCAGGGCUCAGAAGAAGAAAAGCCAGGCCUGGCUCAGUGCCUGGCAGGGGCGCCAGGGCAGGAGGGGUGCGGGGUGGGAGCAGGACAGUUUGGGAAGGUUUGGCGCUGCUGUUAACACUCACAUAAAUUCAGGGCUGUGGGACGCAGCUCGUCUUCCCCACGGGACCGCAGGGCAGGGCAAGCAGAAGGGUGGCAGAUCUUCUGCUGGGCUUAAUGUUAAAGCAAGGAGAGCCUGGGCUUAUUUAGCCCUGCCAGCACCAUCUGAUGGGCCUCGCUGGUUAAUUGGGAGCAGCCUGAGCCCUCCCGCUGAAGCAGGGCAGCUCCUGCCUGCAGCUGGAUGCUGGGCGCUUCCCCAGCCGAGCAGGUUGCAGGUUGCCUGGCAUUUUAAAGGCUUUUCCAUUCCUUUUCACUGUAAUAAAUAAAUAAAUAACACUUAGAAAGACAUCAAGCUUUAAGUGACGAAAUUGGAGCCUUGAACGAUGUAUCUAUCUGGUUUCCUGCAUCUCCAUCCCAUGCUGCUUCCCUAAUGACUAGUUCAGAGAAGGCACGAGUGGAGCUUUUCUCCUCUGCUCAGCUGCUUCUCUUCACUUCGUUCAUCGGCGCUGCCGAGUUUUCAGGUCCCUAAUUCUCUGUUGAAUGCACUUGAAAUCAGCUCAACAGCUUUGAGGGAGGGACAGACUGACAGGUGGACAGACACGCGCUGAUUGCUCCACUGUUAUUUUCUUCAGCAAGAUGAUUGGAAAAUAGAUUAAGGUAAAUAUGACCACUGUGCCCAGGAGCCUUGCAGAAACCUUGCUCCUCUCUCCUCCUAGAAGUCCCCUCUCUGCCAUUCCUACCCACAUCCUGCCCUGCCCCAAAUAAUUAAGAGCACCGAAGUUCUGGUUCCCUUCUCACACGGCAGUCCUGAAAGCAGCAAAGGAACCCCCAGAGUCUGGCCCCGACACAAGCACGAAUGCAGAGGAAAGAGAGAAACCCCAGCAAAACCACGCUGCCUGGCAGAGAAAUAACCGCGCUUCCUCUCUCUCUGCUCCCCUCUCCCAACUGCUUAGAAAUGCUGAGCGUUCGCUGGCUGCCUCUGAAUCCCCCUCCAGACAAAACCGCAGCAUAAUGAGACGUGGAAGAAGCGAGCCACUCGCCUAAAGACACCACUUCUUUCCUCCCCUCCUCGCCCUGCAAGGUGGGGGGAAGCUCAGAGGCGCCCGCGCUGCCCCAGAGCCCUUCGUUUAAGCAGCGUGCAGCAACCACCACGCAACCCUCCCAAGGAUUUCAGCUCAUUUUCCCCAAGGCUGGUGUAGCAUUAAGUUCUUAUAUCCAAAAGCAGCCUUUCAAAUUGCUGCCUGGUGCGUUACAUAAAUCCUCACCAGGAUCCUCGGAGACUGCAAGCAAUUACACUAGGUGCUGAGGAAGCAAGUGAGAGCUCAGAGAAAGGUUAAAGGAAGAAGAAGAAAAACAGAAACAACAAAAAUCCCAGCCCUGGUAGCAGCUUGGAGUGGGAGGGAAACCCGCACGCCGAGCCAAGGCAGCGUGACUUGCGUGGAAAUCACAUCUUGGCCCAUUCAGGCCAGGGCCCAAGGGAAUUUCACCCACAUUUAACUGUGAUACUAUUUGGUGAUGAUCUGUAGAGCUGAUAUAGGCCCUAAAACAGCAGAAACAGUUGUCAUCGGUGGCCCAGAGAGUCUGUAGAUGGCUCCUAGAAGCCCAUGCUCGUGAAGGCAUUAUCUGGAUGCCCUCCAGCCAGGGACAGUGCUCUCCGUGUAGACCUCCCUAUCUCCUCCACUCACCUAUCUGGAUACGCACAGGUCUCGGGAAGCACUAUUCACACCACCUCACCUUGCUGCUCAGCAAAAAAUGGCAAGCAGCUGCACUUCGUCGCCCUGCAGCUGGCUGAAGGGGUGAGAGCAGUUCAGAGCUCACGCUGACCUGCCCGGGGCACUGCCGGAGCCCUUACAGGAUCUGUCUGAGAUCAAGCGAGGAACCAGCACCCAGAGACUGAACUGAGACGUGAAAUUGCCCUGGCUGGGUCUGUGGUGCAGAGGUGAUGUCUCCGGUCAAGGAUCGAGGGUCCUCCGUGCAGAGCUCUGGGUGAGCUCCUCGGCCCUGCACACACAACCACUCUGCUUUAGGUCUGGCUCCAGCUGAGCCACCGUGGGGCUGAAAUCAGCUGUAAACACAAGUUGGUACCUUCCCUGCCUUCCCAUUUCCCCUCAGGGCAAUAAUCUCCAUUAGCGAACGUCUCCAAAAUGCUUCCAGCUCAGCGUGUGGAGCCUGAUGUCUCCAAAGCCUCCCCCACACUUGAUGCAGAAGUGCUGUUUUCCCAGAGCUGCCCCGUGCCUAAUGCAGGCGAGUCUGCUCUCCCUGGUGCUUUGCUCCCCGUUAGUCCCGUAAUGCUCUUAUCCUUCACAGCCUGACAGCU
Long non-coding RNA from Anas platyrhynchos (mallard), 2830 nucleotides. RefSeq lists it as uncharacterized. The record is from RefSeq and is a predicted model, not a curated record. NCBI's taxonomy places the organism in Eukaryota, Metazoa, Chordata, Aves, Anseriformes, Anatidae.